UGAGGAAUAUUGGUCAAUGGACGGGAGUCUGAACCAGCCAAGUAGCGUGCAGGACGACGGCCCUAUGGGUUGUAAACUGCUUUUAUAGGGGGAUAAAGUGUGCCACGUGUGGCAUAUUGCAGGUACCCUAUGAAUAAGGACCGGCUAAUUCCGUGCCAGCAGCCGCGGUAAUACGGAAGGUCCGGGCGUUAUCCGGAUUUAUUGGGUUUAAAGGGAGCGUAGGCCGUCUUAUAAGCGUGUUGUGAAAUGUCGGGGCUCAACCUGGGCAUUGCAGCGCGAACUGUGAGACUUGAGUGCGCAGGAAGUAGGCGGAAUUCGUCGUGUAGCGGUGAAAUGCUUAGAUAUGACGAAGAACUCCGAUUGCGAAGGCAGCCUGCUGUAGCGCAACUGACGCUGAAGCUCGAAAGCGUGGGUAUCGAACAGG
This 424-nucleotide ribosomal RNA is filed under the name uncultured bacterium. Its description in RNAcentral is "bacterial SSU rRNA". It matches the Rfam family "Bacterial small subunit ribosomal RNA", at positions 355 to 776 of the family's 1533-position model. RNAcentral also lists the same sequence under 1 other name. The record is from RNAcentral.